This 700-nucleotide long non-coding RNA is filed under the name Dermacentor andersoni. RNAcentral describes it as "uncharacterized LOC126545072". Lineage: Eukaryota; Metazoa; Arthropoda; Arachnida; Ixodida; Ixodidae. The record is from RNAcentral.
CGUCAGUUGAUAAUAACUUUGUUGUGCUAAGUAGCUCGUAUUCAGACACCCUUGUGCGAUGCUGCCUGUCCCAGAUCCACCAUGGUGGUGAAGUGUUCAUGGUCGACGGCCGCUUGCAGGACUGCUCAUAUUGGAUGCGGUACAUGAACUGCACAACUGAUGACACCUAGGAGAACAUGGUUGCCUUCGAAUGCAAGGGGGCCAUCUACUACCGCACGUCCAGGGUGGUGAAAGCCAGAGAGCAGCCGGGGGGCUGAGAGCAGCUGGAGAGCAACCGGAGAGCACCAGAAGACCAGCCGGAAAGUGGUGCAAGACAUAGGACCAAGGAGUUCAAGCACUUCGUGCAUCCAAUGGGGGCGCAGCACGUCCUCACGGCUUCCUACCACCCCAGCUCCAAUGGGUUGGCAGAGCAUUUCAUCCGGACCUUUAAGAAUGCACUCUACAAAGACAGCACAGGAGAAACACUGCAGUAUGUGCAACCACCCUGAGGGGCACCUUCACCUGGUGUCGCCACCAGGAUUAGCUGUUACAGAGGCUUGCAGAGGGCAUUACCCCUAGGCAUGGAACAGCUGGCGAAGUUACGACCAGCAAGUUCCUGGUUUAUCCUGAGACUGGCGACGCACCAAUUCCUUCCAGUCCACAACCGUCCAGGGUAACUCCGGUUACACGACAGGCAACACCAGCACACCCUGAGGUGAUU